GAAUAUUGGACAAUGGGCGCAAGCCUGAUCCAGCAAUGCCGCGUGUGUGAAGAAGGUCUUCGGAUUGUAAAGCACUUUCGGCGGGGACGAUGAUGACGGUACCCGCAGAAGAAGCCCCGGCUAACUUCGUGCCAGCAGCCGCGGGAAUACGAAGGGGGCUAGCGUUGCUCGGAAUUACUGGGCGUAAAGGGCGCGUAGGCGGCGGUGUCAGUCAGGCGUGAAAUUCCUGGGCUUAACCUGGGGGCUGCGCUUGAUACGGCAUUGCUAGAGGACGGAAGAGGGUCGUGGAAUUCCCAGUGUAGAGGUGAAAUUCGUAGAUAUUGGGAAGAACACCGGUGGCGAAGGCGGCGACCUGGUCCGUUACUGACGCUGAGGCGCGACAGCGUGGGGAGCAAACAGG
Molecule: ribosomal RNA, 400 nt
Filed under: uncultured bacterium
Lineage: Bacteria
Description: bacterial SSU rRNA
Rfam family: Bacterial small subunit ribosomal RNA
Source: RNAcentral